UGUGUUUGAAUGGAUUUUUGCAAGUUUC
RNAcentral lists this non-coding RNA (28 nucleotides) under Mus musculus (house mouse). Lineage: Eukaryota; Metazoa; Chordata; Mammalia; Rodentia; Muridae. The record is from RNAcentral.